GACGAACGCUGGCGGCGCGCUUAACGCAUGCAAGUCGAACGGAAAGGCCUGCUUUCCCUUGUGGAUUGCGGGUACUCGAGUGGCGAACGGGUGAGUAACACGUGAGUGAUCUGCCCCCAACUUGGGUAUAAGCCUGGGAAACUGGGUCUAAUUCCCGAUAGGACUGCAGGGUGGUGCCUGUGGUGGAAAACGAUUUUCUAGUGGUUGGGGAUGAGCUCGCGGCCUAUCAGCUUGUUGGUGGGGUAAUGGCCUACCAAGGCGGCGACGGGUAGCCGGCCUGAGAGGGUGGACGGCCACAUUGGGACUGAGAUACGGCCCAGACUCCUACGGGAGGCAGCAGUGGGGAAGAUUGCACAAUGGGCGGAAGCCUGAUGCAGCGACGCCGCGUGGGGGAUGACGGCCUUCGGGUUGUAAACUCCUUUCGACCGCGAGGAAGCCACCUGGUUGGAAGGGUGGUGACGGUAGUGGUAGAAGAAGCACCGGCUAACUACGUG
RNAcentral lists this ribosomal RNA (494 nucleotides) under uncultured bacterium. Its description in RNAcentral is "partial 16S ribosomal RNA". It matches the Rfam family "Bacterial small subunit ribosomal RNA", at positions 28 to 507 of the family's 1533-position model. The record is from RNAcentral.